UACGUAGGGUGCGAGCGUUAAUCGGAAUUACUGGGCGUAAAGCGUGCGCAGGCGGUUUUGUAAGCCAGAUGUGAAAUCCCCGGGCUCAACCUGGGAACGGCAUUUGGGACUGCAAGGCUGGAGUGCGGCAGAGGAGACUGGAAUUCCUGGUGUAGCAGUGAAAUGCGUAGAUAUCAGGAGGAACACCGGUGGCGAAGGCGGGUCUCUGGGCCGAUACUGACGCUGAGGAGCGAAAGCGUGGGGAGCGAACAGG
RNAcentral lists this ribosomal RNA (253 nucleotides) under uncultured bacterium. RNAcentral's name for it is "partial 16S ribosomal RNA". It matches the Rfam family "Bacterial small subunit ribosomal RNA", at positions 524 to 776 of the family's 1533-position model. The record is from RNAcentral.